CACUUCAUCUAUGGACAAAAAUAUUAAGUUAAGUUUGUUUAAAUGAGUGAUACGUCACAUCACAGCAUAAAACUAUGCUGUAGACCACAACAUCCAUCUUGAUAGGCUCAUAAACUGGGUGGGACUAUCAGGCACAGCCCAUACCUGAUUCCCAUCAUAUCUGGAAGACAGGGAUUAUGUUGUUACUAUUGAUCACAAAUCAAAGCUGAUCACCAUGACAUUUGGGUCCUCCAAGGUUUGAUUCUUGAACUGCUGCACUUCAAAAAGUACGUACUCCCCCUGAGUCAGGUCACACAACAACAGCAUUACCUAUUAUGCAGAUGACACCCAGAUCUACCUAGCUCUAUCACCUAGUGACUGUGGUCCCCUGUAAUCACUGUCUGUGUUUGGAACAAGUUAAUGACUAGAUGCAGUCAGAUUUCCUCCAGUUAAAGAAAUUUAUUUUAUUUAUUUGUUUAUCUGAAAGGGAAAAUGUAUAUUCAUGAACGUAUGAAUGUAAAUAUGCCAAGAUUUGCCCUGAGGCUACUUUUCAUACAAAACUGAAGUUAUUGUUUUAGGAAAUUAGAAGGUUAGGAUGGAGGUUAUUGCUCAGCUUGGCUCCAGAGGAAUAAAGACAAAGACCCAGGUUAGAAAUCUUGGCAUUAUAAUAGAUUCAGACCUGAGUUUCACUGGUCACAUGGCUAUGACUACAUCAGCAUUUAAUCACCUUCAUAGCACGACUCAGGGGUCUAGUUUCCAGACCAGACCUAGGGAAACUUCUUCAUGCGUUCAUCUCCAGCAGGCUGGACUACUGCAACUGUCUUUUAACUGGACUACCCAAAACAGCUGUGAAGCAACCAAGAGAACCAAGCACAUCACUCCUGUUCUUGGGUCUCUACACUGGUUACCAGUAAACCACAGAAUCAAUUUCAAAGUUCUCCAACUAGUUUAUGAGUCAAUCAAUGGUAUGGGGACAGAAUACAUGUUGGGUCUCCUUCCUGUAUAUACACCCAGCAGGGUUCUCAGAUCCUUAGGAAGCAGUAAGCUGGUAGAACCUCGGGUCAAAACCAAACAGGGUGAAGCUGUUUUUAGCUACUAUGCUGCUCACAGAUGGAAUCAGCUUCCUCAUGACCUCAAAUGUGCCUCAACUCUAGUAACUUUUAAAGGAAAACCUUUUUGUAUUCAUCAGCCUUUAAAUGAAUGUUUCUUGUGCUGCACUGUAACCGCUCACUCUUUCUUUGCCUUUAUAUUUUAUUUCUUACAUUAAAUGUUUUUGUGUAUUUGAUUUCAUGAGCUGCUGUUUUAUGUUGCUGCGUUCACUGUAAGUUUCAUGUUCUUGCUGAUGUUGCACCUAGAAAGCACGUUGAACUGCUCCUGCGUAUGACAUGUGCUAUACAAAUAAAGCUUGUUGCACAUGACAUUACUUUAGCUGAGCAGCAGGAGGAAGAAAACACCCAUGAAUUAUUUUAGUAAGCACAAUUGCUUUAAAGUUCCAAUUAAUGUUUAUUGUUUUGCCCACAUUUCAUGUAUUUGUAUCAGACACAUCUUUGGGUGGCAAGAACUGUGGUACAGAAAAUAUUUCUUUCGUUGUACCUCUUCCUCCUCUCUGUUCCUUUCACCACUCUUUUCCAAAAUGAACCUAAAUGUCAGCUGAUUGUUCCAGCUACCCUUGGGUUGGAGAACAUUGCAGGAUUUCUUGACCUAAUCAUCUAGCUGACUACUGCUGCCAACCACCCCAACCACAAAGUCUGAAUGUGAGAGAGCUUCGUAAGUGACAAUCAUUACAAUAUUUGCUACAUUUUUCCUGGUAAACAAAGUAUUUAGACUCAGUCUGCAUAUAUAUUAAAUUCUGCAAAGACCUAGCCAAUGAAAGAUAAGACUCUUUGAUAACUUUGACGACUGUCCUCUGCUUUCUGUGUCUGAUCCUUCCUGGACCCAGCCGCAAAAGUCUCCAGCUCAAACUCCUGGAUUUUGCUCCCAGCCCUCAUUAUGUCGCUACCAACAUCUGUUUGGCAGACCAGCAGAGACCCACUCAGCGUGGCUCGACUCAGCUCAACGCGGAGCGGACCACCCUGUGAUGUCAUCUGUUUAUAUCUCCGUGGGAAGAAGAAGACAAGAACUUUUAAAUGUUCUUGUGCUUUCCAAAUGCUUCUUCCCUUCUGUGAUUUCUUACAAAAACGAUUACAGGAAAAUAACUUCCUCCAGUGACCUCUUGCUCUAAUACUACCGAGUCAGUGACACAGUGGGGUGCCUGCUUGUUUGACAUAAUUUAGCAUUUUGAGCUGCAUUUAGGUGCACUUUCUGGAUUUACUUCACCAUUUGGUAUGGAUUAAGUGGGAUUAAUGUAUAAAAACACAUAUAUGACAACAUGUAAGUUAUGCAAGUUGUUAAAACCAAAAAGACGUAAAUCGGGCAAAUAAAGUAAUCGAAAAAAGAAAGUGCACAAAGAGCCAAGUGGUGUUUGUGAUUUGGCAGCAAACCUACAUGCCAGUCCUAAACUCAAACGACAGAUGCAGGGAGGGGAAGAGGAGCAUUCAGAAAGCAGAACAGAGGAGUUUCUAGAGACAUGGGAGAGGAAUGACAGGGGAAGGAAAAGUCAGUAGGAAAAAUAAUGAUUUGGGUAAAGCAGCCUGAUAAACAGAAAAGAAGGAAAAGAAAGCAAGAUUCUCUUAGAGCCUGAGAGCAUGUGCUCACACACACACCCACACACACACACACUAGUCUGUAUUUCUUUCCAUAUUAGGACUUUGUAUUAACUUCCAUGAAUUUUUGUAACUGCAUUUAUGCCUAACCCUAACCCUAACCAGUGUAUUCUUAAACCUAACUGUGACAUAAACUUAAUUCACAUCUUACCACUAAACCUCACCGCUAAGCCCUAAAACAGUAGAGGACCAGGUUUUGGUCCUAAGUAGGACAGUUGUACAAGCACACACACACACACGUGCUCACACACACGCACACACACACACACACACACACACACACACACACACACACACACACACACACACACACACACACACACACACACACACACACACACACUGGCUCAGACAUAAAGCACUGUUCAUUUGAUCACUGGACGAGUAGACCACAACCAGCAGAGCAGGCCUCCUCUGGCACGUGGCAAGGCUGUUAGCGUCAACCACUCGUUUACAAGACCCUUGAUUCACACACACACUUACACACUAAUGUUCAUUUUUUUAAACUUAUUAUAGCAGUGAGAAAAGUCAGUCUGUAUCUGAGAGUACACUCUAUAUGUGAGUCAGACCAAGCUCCUUCAGCUUCUGCUUAAGGAAUCUCAUGUACACAGAUUGGUUUGGAGACCAAACUCUGUCAUCCUGCAUCCGCUCAUCAACUUUGAAUGAACUCAACACUUGUCUGAAAAAACAACUUGUUGACAUGUAUUGACCGUAUGCUGCUCUACCCACAUUGCUUACUCUUUUUUUCACAAGAGCAUGUCUGGUGCAGGCCAUGCAUCAUUGAAAGACAUGCAGAAAAGAAUGACGAUUGAAAUGGAUUUAACCUGGCAUCAUGAAAAUUUCAGCUUGUAUAAAUACCCUACGUUCAUCAUUCACCAGUUAACGGGAGGACUCUGUGAAAAAAGGGCCCUAAGAUCACCUCCCAAGAUGUUUUAAAGACUAUGUAGAGAUUCUUGCAGAAGUCUUAGUCAAACUAAAAUGAAAUAAAACAUGAAUAUUUGGACUGACUUCUUAAUUUACUGUCAGUAAUAACUUUUGUUUUGUAAGUUGAUUAUUCUUCCUAUGUCAAAGCUUUGUGACCAGGUGUUUUUCCCCAAAAAAUGGCAGAAAACAAUUUGUCAUCUUUAGAGUGUGGUGCAUUUCUAACAAAAGCUUCAUGUGUCGGUUAUUUAAUGCAAGAAAACCGCAGAAACAUCUCAGUACAUCCACUACAUACACAACAGGUGCAGCAGAGAGCUAAAUGCUAAUAGGCUAACACAGCAGUGUCAUGAUGAGUCGUUUUGAUAAUGAGUUAGAGACUUAAAGACUGUACAACUUUUCAUAUUUUUACAUAAUUUUCUUGAGCUAGUAUGUGAUAAAAUGACCCUUUUAAAUGAAUGAAAUGUCACUCAGACCUCUGCCGCCCCCUGUGGCUGCCUCCUGUUGGACGUAGAAAAAACGGAGCUGACAUACCUGGUGCUGCAGCACGUUUCCUGCAUGUUUUAGAUCAUGAACACUGAUGAUUUGUUCAAUUUAGUGAUGAGUCGCUCCCAAUGAAGGCUAGGGAUACAUUUCAGUUUUUAGAUUAAGGUGUUAAGAAGACAAGCGCACAGUCAGCAUAUAAAUUUUACUUUUGGUUCUACGAAACAGACACUAGGGGGUGCUAAAAGCUAGCCUAACUGCCAAGUGUGCCUUUAAUGAAGAGUCUUGGUGUAAAGCUUUUGGGUCAAGGCCUAGUCUGGCUUGGAUCUCAUUGGGUGUGAAUCAAAUGGAGCUACACAGCAUUAUGGCAGCACCAGAUAAUGCUGUGUCAAAGUAAACCAAAUUUGUAGGCUUUUUAUGUAUUUUGCCUCAUCAGUUAUCUCCCGAUCCUUUUCCUGAAUGUGUUGUAGCUACAACUUGCAGUUCAUGAUUUUGAUUGAGCUCUGAUCCACAUUUCUGGCUAAUUUAUAAAUGAAAAAGAUAAAACAUAAGAAAUUAAGCUAACACCAGAACCAUUUCAAAAAGUGCUCACACUUUUUACUAGUUUGUUCUCCAAACUUUACUGAUAACCCAUCAGUACAUUUAGCUAAUUAGUAUUUAGCUUAUGUUUCACAGCCGUGCAAAUCUUGUUGUCUGCUUGUUGCCAGCUGAUUAAACAUUAGGAUGAGCUGCUUUUUGUAGAAUUGCAUCUGCUACUUUGGGUGUGUGAUAUCCUGCAGAGGUCAAACUAACAAUUAGCUCAGACCAUGAGAAGAUUAACUGCAGGCAGAAGAAAAAAAUCUGUAAUUGUGGUCCUUUAGAUUUGGCUCCAGCCCAUGUGAGAUAAGGCCCCUGAUGAGAUCUUUUGCGUGUCAGAAAACACAAUGUAUCUGAGAAAGUUGGGGAUGUCAUUAACACUUGAUGAUAUCACCCGCACUUUCUGUUUGUUUUAAUGUCUCGGUGCAUGGAAGAGAUAGAUUCCCCUCACUAUCUCCUUUUUGGUUGUGUGUGUGUGUGUGUGUGUGUGUAGGUGUGUGUGUGUGUGUGUGUGUGUGUGUGUGUGUGUGUGUGUGUGUGUGUGUGUGUGUGUGUGUGUGUGUGUGCUCAGCCCUGUGGUGACCUUGGGUUGGAUGUUUUAGCAGUCUCAUUCUGACGUUAUCAAGCAGUCCCCUGGGUAAAAUUUUUCAUGACUCCUCCAAAUUACCAACGAACAAAUGAACGAAUAAAUUAUUUGAAAGAAAUUGCAAGUGGCCCUUUCAUGAGACUUCAUAGCUUUUUUUUUAAAAAAAAAGCACUGAAUCUGAUUUUUUUUCACGAAAACAGCAGCAUUAAUAUCAGACUUGUACAAAUAAUAAUAAUAAUUAUUAUUAUGAUAAUGUUUUAUCACAUUCCUUUGAAUGAGCUAAACUGUGUACAUGCAGCAUAGCAACAAACCAAUUUCUGCAAAAUAACAAGCAUUACAUAUGAAAUUUGCUGAAGCUAAGUGUAGUUUGAUUGGAUUUACUGAUAAGCCAGAACGACGGAUAAACAUGACAGAUUAAAGAUUUUUCACAUCUCAGAGCCCGAGGUGUUUUGGCUCUGAGAUGUGAAAAAUCUUCUUCAUGCCACAAAUGAAAAAGACCAAAACAAUCUAUUUGGCUCAGACUGCUUCUUCUAACAUUGGGUAGGUAAUCGAUGCCAUGGACUUUGGUUUCUGAAGAUUUGGGAGCUACUGGCAAAGAAAAGAAAUAAGUGAUGAGAUUUCCAUCAGUUCAGUCUGCAGGUUUCUUCUCCACACACAUUUCAGAGUUAGGGCAGUUAUAGUGGAAAUGUUGUCUAAUGUAAACGUGGUGAUGGCAAUCAUGUAUGGUUUAUGCUACCAUCCACAUUCACAUUAGAGAAAGUGCUGCACAUGCAAACACAUCUAAACAACAUCUUAGAUUAGGUUUGUGCUGCACAAUGGGCCUGUGGGUUUCACUGCCACCUCAGAGCAGAAAUGACCCGUGUUUGAUUCUUGACUUGGACUUUUUGUAAAGAAUUAGCGUGUUCUUCUGGUCCAUGAAUGGCUUUUCUUCUGGUUCUCAGCUUUCCUCCCACAACCCCAAAACAUGUAUAUUUGUUUUAGCUGUUGUCCAUGCCGACAUUCAUGAAAAAACUAAUAAUUUUUGUGGAAAUAAUAAAAAAAAUCACACUUUGGUUCUAAACUGACAAUGGUUUGUUGCAUUCCUAAAGAUUCUAACUAUCAUGUCACAGUUUAGUCACAAAGUGUCUAAUUCUUUCACAAUUCAUCCUAAUAACUUUUGCAUUAUGUCAUCUUCAAACUGUAUGAACUUAUUUGUGUCACUGAUUAGUCAAACCUUUGACUGACUGGUUGUUACACAUUUCUUGCACAAAUGAUGUCACAGAAACAAAAUUGAAAAAGGCUGCAGGCAGGUUUCAGAUACCCAUCACGACUCGGUGGCACAAUGUUUGUUUUUCUAGUGUUUCAUGAUGUUCCAAAUUCAAGCAACACAAGAGAGAGGCCCCGUGUCCCAUGCAUUAAUAAUCUCCAGGAACAUUUAAGACAUUUGGUUGAUUUCUUCAUUAAUUCUGCUUGUAGGCUGUUGGCAUCAGUCUAGGCCCAGUGGUACACAGACUUUUUUUAACUACUCUAAACUGGUCCUAUGUUUGAGUGAGGGUUAACCCUCUCAGGCUCAACAUAAGUUUUGAUAAAAGGAUGAACAACUAAGUCCUUCAGGGGUACUUCUGAUUUAAAAGAUGCUCAUGAAAUACGCAUGUGGAGUAACCAGGUAGGUAGGUUUUAACGUUGCAAAUCUUCAACGCCUGCUUCCAGAGGGUUAAAAGCUGUCUGUUUCUAUGUGUGAUGGAUGGAUGGAUGGAUUAAUUGAUGAAUGAUUGGAUGGAUGGAUGAACGGACAACUGAAUGAUUGGAUAGAUGGAUGAAUGAUUGGAUUGAUGUACAGAUGAAUGGAUAAAUGGAUGGAUGGAUGGAUGAAACUUUUAGCACCACAUAGGGUCUGCUCCUUUUAUUCAGUCUGAGAAUCUCCUCACAUUUAACCCCCUAAACAGAUGAGCAGAACAAACAUGCUGGUUCUCCUAUAGAGCAAUGCCAAAGAAGGACCUAAUGUGGUUCUUGAGAGUGACCGGUGAUUUGGCAAAGUGAGUCAAAAGAACCUCCAAAUGUUGCAUAAGAAGCUGCUGUCAGAUAUACAGCGCGUCCUCCAUGUCUCAACAAAUGUGAAUGUCAUUAAGUCUGACUGCUGCUGAGAACUGGUCAUAGCUGCAGGAGGGAGUGCAUUUAUGUGAAUCAAAGAGCAUGACAUGUUUCGCCCAAUGUGUGUUUGUGUGUGUGUGUGUGUGUGUGUGUGUGUGUGUGUGUGUGUGUGUGUGUGUGUGUGUGUGUGUGUGUGUGUGUGUGUGUGUGUGUGUGUGUGUGUGUGUGUGUGUGUGUGUGUGUGCGCGCGCGCGCGGAGAAAGGAGAGGGUUUGACUGAACUCACAUGAGAGCAGUGGAAUCUCAUUCGGUAGGGUUCCAGUCUGAGACCUGGGAUGGAACGUAAAAUAUAACAAGACUCACCAGACAGCAGCUGUGAUGCAUAGGUGUGUGAGGGUGUAUGGUUACUGCAUGGCUUACAGAGUAUAAAUCUGAGGCAGAGCCAAAAAGAGACAGCAUGCUGGUCCCACACAUAGCAUAAAGCCUUUUUCUUUAUGUUAGUGCAUCUCAGCAGUCACUGGCUGCAGCUGACACAUUCACAAAUCACCCACUAAGUCCAGAUGAGUUUAGUUUUUGUUUCCUGAGACAACCUACACUUGGCAGCCAUGCACUGGUCAUGAAAACAGACCAAGACUAAGCAGGAUGAGUGAUUUAGUAAAUCUAAAGUUAUCCUUCAGACAAUAACAAGUCAAUUUGAAAUUCAUGUAAACAGAUAAAAAAAUCUGAAAACAAUCACUUCCUGUUAAGAGUUUUCAUUCCAAACAGUUGCCAACUUUGAUGUGAUAGAAAUCCUGUUUAGGUCAUGCACACGCUGGAAAUCUCAAGAGCAUCCUGUUCCACUGACAUAGGAAAAGCCAGGGUGCAGUUCAAAAGCCUUACACAUGGAAAUGUGCUAUGUGGUACUUUUCUGAUGGGAGAGAUUCAACAAUUGAACGGUGCAAGCGAAACAAAUUGACAAUGUAUCAAGUCUCAUCUGCUUGGAUGAGACUUGAUUUUCAAUUCAUGCCUAAUUUCAAAUUAUCACUUUGGCUUGCAAACAGAUCGAUAUAAUUCCAAAUAUCUCAGACCUGAAAAGAUUAAUCAGGGAUGAAUUGCUACCACUUUUGUUCAGAGUGGCUCUGGACGUUGAGGAGCUCUCCAAUACUGCCUGGACACUGGGGGUAGUUUCCUUGGAUUGGGGUACCAGGCCCCUUGAUAUGGGCGGUUAGGUCCCUGUAUGACCAGUGUCAGAGCUUGGUCCGCAUUGCCGGCAGUAAGUCGAGCUCGUUCCUGGUGAGAGCUGAACUCCACCAAGACUGCCCUUUGUCACCGAUUCUGUUCAUCACUUUUAUGGACAGUAUUUCUAGGCACAGCCAAGGUGGAGAGGGGAUCCGUUUUGGUGGCCUAAGGAUCAGGCCUCUGCUUUUUGCAGAUGAUAUGGUCCUGCUGGUUUCAUCAGAAUGUGAUCUCCAGCUUUGGAGUAGUUUGCAGUUGAGUGUGAAGCAUCUGGGAUGAGAAUCAGCUCCUAAAUCAGAGACCAUGGUCUUGAGACAGAAAAGGGUAGAAUGUCUUCUCCAGGUCAGGGAUGAGGUCCUGCCCCAAGUGGAGGAGUUUAAGCAUCUCUGGGUCUUGUUCACACGUGAGGGAAAGAUGGAGCGUGAGAUCAAUAGGUGCGUCUGCAAUGAUGUUGUUGGUGUUGUCGUGGUGAAGAAAGAGCUGAGCCAGAAGGCGAAGUUCUCCAUUUACCGGUCUAUCUAUGUUCUUACCUCACUUAUUGUUACAAGCUUUGGGUAGUGACCGAAAGAAACAAGAUCGCAGAUACAAGCGGCUGAAAUUAGUUUUCUCAGCAGGGUGGCUGGGCUCUCCCUUUGCGAGAAGGAGGGUGAGAAGCUUGGUCAUCUGGGAGGGGCUCAGAGUAGAUCUGCUACUCCUCCACUUUGAGAGGAGCCAGUUGAGGUGGCUCUAGCAUCUGAUUAGGAUGCCUCAUGAAUGCCUCUCUGGUGAGGUUUUCUAGGCACGUCCAACCGGGAGGAGAACUGAAGGAAGACCCAGGACACACUGGAGGGACUGUCUUUCGGCUAGCCAGGGAUUACCUUGGGAUUCCCCAAGAGGAGCUAGCCCAAGUGGCUCGGGAGAGGGAGGUCUGGGCUUCUCUGCUUAGGUUGCUGCCUCCGCGACCCGACUCCAGAUAAGCAGAGGAAAAUGGAUGGACGGACAGACGUAUGGAUGGAUGGAUGAAAACUGAUACUCCAGCCCAAGGGUAGUGGUCUCUGAUUGAUCCAGUAGACAGUUUCUCUCAGGGCUAUGACUAGUUGGAGACACAAACUAGCAAGAAAAUAUGAAAUUUUCACACUUUCUAACAAAAGAAAUAUCUAAUGUGAUUUUAUUUGCAGUCUUUCUAAAACAAAACAAACUGGAGAAGUGGAAGAUGAAAGCAAGUAACAGGCCUAAGAUAAAAGAAUAAUACUCAGACAAUCAGGAUCCCAGAGGAAUAGUGUUCAGUGAUAGGAAAGCAGCUCUUUGUAAAUACCCUUGUUGGUGCAUUAAUACAAUCUUGUGCCUGUCAAACUGUUAUCUUUGUUUUUGUUCACAGAUCAAAGUAUUUUAAUAGAUAUUACACACAGUUCCCAUGAGGAUCCAGAACAACGUGUGUUAUUAGAGAUCCUCCAGAAGCCCGGUGAACUCUUCCUCAAGAUGACUCAAAAAAGAUUAAAAAUCAAACUUCAGUGGGCUCACGAAUGGAUUAAUGCUCCAUAAAUGGUACCAUUUAAAGAAAGCUGCACACGUAGACUUCUCUGAUGCGAGUGAAAAUCUGUGAACGAGCUGAAAGGUCAAGUGAAUUUUUAAAGCCGGAGCCAGAAGGCUGGGUCAGAGGGAGCUGCAUGCUGAAGACCGGUUGGUGGACUUGGCCUGGUCCACUACCAGCUGAGGGCCUGGAGCUCCACCAACUGUGGCAGACUCUGAGAAUCCAGAUGUUUCAGAGGUGAUGCAGCCAAGAUUCCUCCCUUCUGCUGCCUUUGCUUUGUGUGGACAGCUGUUUGCUCUUCAUUCAUACUUUACAUCUGAUUCAGGAUCAAAUGUCACUCCUGAAUGUUCUUGACCAAUGAGAAGAUUCUAUAUGUCUGAAACAGUUACAUUUAAUUUACUGAUGAAGUAGAAGUUGUCACACACACACUGGUAUGUGGUGAAAUGUGUUCUCCGAUUUUGACCCAUCCCUGUGGGGAGUGGGGGGCUGCAGACACAGAUGCACUCAGGAACGAUCGGGUGGUUUAAACCCCAAUCCAACCCCUUAAAGCUGAGUGUCAAGCAGGGAAGCAUUGGGUUGCAUUUUUAAGGUCCUUGGUACGACCCAUCCGGGAUUUGAACCCCAACCUCCCAGUCUCAGGGCAGACACUCAUACCAGUAGGCCACUGAGCUUUGUUACUAAGGCCCUUACCCUUAGACACAGGAAGAUCACUAAAUGUGUAUUUAAAAAACUCUGAACAGCUAAACGCACUCCAAAAUCCUGUUUAAGUGUUCGGUGUGUGCUGGCAUUUACCCUCUCUGUGAUACUCUGUGGGGCUCAGCAUGACGUAGUGGGAAUUUAACUCCAAACCUCUCUCGCAUCCAUCCAAAUGACUAAUUUUACUGUCUGGCUGUGGUGCUGCUGGACUCUACUAAUUGGAACCUGGAAAAAAAACUAUAACAGGAGACAUGAGGUAGGUGUGUUGAGGGGAGGGCGACCCACUCUCUCCUGCAUCGGUGGUUGGCGGUGGGAUGCCCAGAGGCACUUUAGGACCCUUGCUGGGAGCUGAAGCGGCACAUGAGACUUGUUGUGGGCCCUAAUGGAGGCCAGCCAUGGAGCGCCUUCCUGUGUUAAGUAGUAAACUGCUGAGUGCUCUCUCUGUGGAAGAAAACUGAUGAAUCUGCACUUCUCUGUGACUUUUACACAGCACCAGUGUUGCUUUUCUACAUGUCUGACAGCAGCAACAGUUGACUGGAACUUCAAAUAUUCCAUCUGAACACAUCAGAAUGCGACCACCUUGGUUACGGAGCUCCUGGUCUCAGCAGGGGAACACCCUGGAGGGCUGGGAUUAGGAGCAGUUUGUUUUAGUUUGGCUCCAUUCAUGAAUACACAGAGUUCACACAAACACCAAUUACGUAGACAGCGUUUGGUGUGCAUCUGUUUUUCGCAUUACCAUUAGAAACGAGUUAUUGUGGCGUGGUGAGUCUCCUUAUGUAAGUUUAGGUAUGAAAAUGUCCCAUGAAUCUAUAAGCCAGGUCAGUAGGAAGUAGAUUCCACGUGUGGGAUAAAUGUCAGGAAUACCAGGGCAGCCAACUCACAGAUGGGCAUUCCUUGUGUGGGCUAUACAGCGAUUGAGCCAACAGGCUAGGCUAACACACAGCGAGGUCAGAGUAGGUGGACAGAGGAAGUGAAGAUGUCAAACAGAUGUUCCUUCAGAUUUGUUAAUGUUAAUCUAGUGAGAGACUUGGAGUGUUAGACUUGACAUAAAGAACAUUUAAACAUAAUAAUGUGAGUUAGAACACACAUUAAUAACUAACUUUAAAACAUCUGUCAAAGUAAAAUUGAGUUAAAACUAACGUAUUAACAUACAUUUGAAUACUUAGACUCACCAGUAAGAAGUAAUAGGCCAGUUACCUUUCAGUUACUAGAUACUCACAUCUGAACAAAUAAAUGUAGUUUAUGACUUCAUAAACAGGUGUCUGUAAUUUUCUAUUUUUAGUAUUUCAUCAUCAUCAUCAUCUGCAGCAGCAGCAGCAGCAGCAUACUACUGUAUUUCUGUCUUCUUCAAUUUAAUGUUUUUUUUCUUCAGCAUGUCCGACCAUCUCACUGAGGUGAGUGCUGUCCCCACACAUCAAAACCACCAUUAGCACCAGUUAAACCAGUGUCCAAACAUGAGCACUAAACAUUAUUGAGUCUGUGUUCAUGAGCAGGGAUCAAAUUACGCGCUUCAGCCACAAGUUUCUGAAUCCAGCGUUUUCAUUGGCUCAGAAAACUUCAGAGGAUGACACAAGAUUUGUCAGAAAUUUGCUUAAAUUUCGCCUCCAGAUCUUUUGAACAUAUUUCCACAAAUGCACAUUAAAUGCAUGUUUGUGUGAUUUAAGAUUAAAACGUCUUAGAGCCAACAUAUAUUUUUGUAAUUUUUCUAAAAUUUUAAUAAACCGGUAAAUAGUUGAUCCCAUUGAUGCAGGGUUAGUUAUGGGGACUACUUGUUGCGGCGGAUUGAAACAUAAACCUCUAUGCUGUUCCUAGGUGGACAUUAGACACUUUUUAUUAGUUUUCCAAAUUUAUAAUAAUUUUGUCCUUUAGCAUCAGAAUAAUCGCGUGAUAAAUGACAGCUGUUCUGAUAACAUAAGACAUUUAUCAGAUGGUUCUGGUACCGGUGGUACCGGCUGCCUACCUUGAA
This is a non-coding RNA of Nothobranchius furzeri (turquoise killifish), 12700 nucleotides long. Lineage: Eukaryota; Metazoa; Chordata; Actinopteri; Cyprinodontiformes; Nothobranchiidae. The record is from RefSeq and is a predicted model, not a curated record.